ACACGUAGGGCGCAAGCGUUGUCCGGAUUUAUUGGGCGUAAAGAGCUCGUAGGCGGUUUCGUAAGUCGGGUGUGAAAACUCAGGGCUCAACUCUGAGACGCCACCCGAUACUGCGAUGACUUGAGUCCGGUAGAGGAGUAGGGAAUUCCUGGUGUAGCGGUGAAAUGCGCAGAUAUCAGGAGGAACACCGGUAGCGAAGGCGCUACUCUGGGCCGGUACUGACGCUGAGGAGCGAAAGCAUGGGGAGCAAACAGGAUUAGAAACCCCGGUAGUCC
RNAcentral lists this ribosomal RNA (275 nucleotides) under uncultured bacterium. RNAcentral describes it as "partial 16S ribosomal RNA". It matches the Rfam family "Bacterial small subunit ribosomal RNA", at positions 523 to 796 of the family's 1533-position model. The record is from RNAcentral.